UUUCGGGGAUGGGAAACGAACCCACAGUGUUCCGCUUACCGGGUAGUGACCAUGUCCACUAGGCUACCCUGGA
Molecule: transfer RNA, 73 nt
Filed under: Cordylochernes scorpioides
Lineage: Eukaryota; Metazoa; Arthropoda; Arachnida; Pseudoscorpiones; Chernetidae
Description: tRNA-Thr
Source: RNAcentral